RNAcentral lists this ribosomal RNA (400 nucleotides) under uncultured Devosia sp. RNAcentral's name for it is "bacterial SSU rRNA". It matches the Rfam family "Bacterial small subunit ribosomal RNA", at positions 987 to 1382 of the family's 1533-position model. Lineage: Bacteria; Pseudomonadati; Pseudomonadota; Alphaproteobacteria; Hyphomicrobiales; Devosiaceae. The record is from RNAcentral.
UGGCAGGACGAUUUCCAGAGAUGGAUCUCUUCGACUUCCGGUGACCUGCACACAGGUGCUGCAUGGCUGUCGUCAGCUCGUGUCGUGAGAUGUUGGGUUAAGUCCCGCAACGAGCGCAACCCUCGCCCCUAGUUGCCAUCAUUUAGUUGGGCACGUCUAAGGGGACUGCCGGUGAUAAGCCGGAGGAAGGUGGGGAUGGACGUCAAGUCUUCAUGGCCCUUACGGGUUGGGCUACACACGUGCUACAAUGGCGGUGACAGAGGGCAGCCACUUCGCGAGAAGGAGCUAAUCCCUAAAAGCCGUCUCAGUUCGGAAUUGCACUCUGCAACUCGAGUGCAUGAAGUCGGAAUCGCUAGUAAUCGCAGAUCAGCACGCUGCGGUGAAUACGUUCCCGGGCCUU